This 202-nucleotide long non-coding RNA is filed under the name Gossypium raimondii (Peruvian cotton). RNAcentral's name for it is "long non-coding RNA (GRAI_LNC007468)". The record is from RNAcentral. Lineage: Eukaryota; Viridiplantae; Streptophyta; Magnoliopsida; Malvales; Malvaceae.
UCUAUUCCAUCCAUUAUCAAAAUUAUCUAUCUUUAAUUCCGCUGCUUACUUAACCCAUCUAAAUUAUAUUUAACCUACUUCAAUCUUAAUUGCACCCAUUAUUUUAUUAGCUAUCCGACUACAAGACUAUACAAGUUAGGAAAGCUACUUUAUCGUUGACGAUCGGGCAACUAAGAUGACUCGACUCACUAACUCGAGGUGG